UAGGACUAACUUGGACCUUCUUUCCAAGGC
This 30-nucleotide non-coding RNA is filed under the name Mus musculus (house mouse). RNAcentral also lists the same sequence under 1 other name. Lineage: Eukaryota; Metazoa; Chordata; Mammalia; Rodentia; Muridae. The record is from RNAcentral.